RNAcentral lists this ribosomal RNA (450 nucleotides) under uncultured bacterium. RNAcentral describes it as "bacterial SSU rRNA". It matches the Rfam family "Bacterial small subunit ribosomal RNA", at positions 329 to 794 of the family's 1533-position model. The record is from RNAcentral.
GCCCAGACUCCUACGGGAGGCAGCAGUGAGGAAUAUUGGUCAAUGGGCGGAAGCCUGAACCAGCCAAGUCGCGUGAGGGAAGAAGGCUUUCGGGUUGUAAACUUCUUUUGUCAGGGAAGAGUAGAAGACGGUACCUGACGAAUAAGCCACGGCUAACUACGUGCCAGCAGCCGCGGUAAUACGUAGGUGGCAAGCGUUGUUCGGAUUUACUGGGUGUAAAGGGCGUGUAGCCGGGCUUACAAGUCAGAUGUGAAAUCCGGGGGCUCAACCCCCGAACUGCAUUUGAAACUGUAGGUCUUGAGUAUCGGAGAGGCAGGCGGAAUUCCUAGUGUAGCGGUGAAAUGCGUAGAUAUUAGGAGGAACACCAGUGGCGAAGGCGGCCUGCUGGACGACAACUGACGGUGAGGCGCGAAAGCGUGGGGAGCAAACAGGAUUAGAUACCCUUGUAAU